This is an RNA transcript of Helianthus annuus (common sunflower), 2865 nucleotides long. It is a transcript of the gene named DPH4 homolog, with no coding region annotated. NCBI's taxonomy places the organism in Eukaryota, Viridiplantae, Streptophyta, Magnoliopsida, Asterales, Asteraceae. The record is from RefSeq and is a predicted model, not a curated record. The transcript is spliced from 4 exons.
ACAACUAUCAUUUCCAAAAAUCUUCUCAAAUCGUUGACCAAAUUUAAUAGGCAUUCCUUUCUGCAUCUUUAACUAACAAAUCAAUUUAGAUCAUUUCCAAACCAAUGAAAUUAAUCCCAAUAUUAAGCCAACCUUGGUCAUCCUUUCCUUGCCCUCAUUCUUGAUCUUUGUCCAAUUCAAAAACAAUCCACCGACUCACCUCCGGAAGAAAACUCCGACGAGACUAUAGCACGGCGACUAGAUGGUUCUUUGAAGCGGGGUUUAGCGUUAGUCGCCACGUUCGAGUCGAAGCCAUUUAAAUUUCACAGUCGAUCCUAUUCAGCCUCUGUUUGAGCUGCGGCGACCGCCGACGCACAACCGUAAGACAACUCCAGAACUCGAUACCGCACCGCUCAACUUUGCUUGGGCAUCACACGGUUUUUGUGGUUAACUGUGGGCGACCUAGAUUGCUUUGCUAGUUCACUUAUCAGAAAAAAAGGUAAUCGGGGGAAUGUUGGGAACUAGCGAUGAUGAGAGUUAAUGCAAUUCAAGAAUAAAAGACUUUUCUUUAUUUCAGUAUUUAAAUUAACUAAGACUUUAGGAUUUCUUGGUUUGAUUCAAGACUUUUGGUUGCCUUUUGGAUCCCCUAUUUUUCCUUGUUAAAUAGAUUUUGAUUGGUUUUGAUAUCUGUAAUACUGACACGUCAGCCUUAUUCGGGUUGGGGUGUUACACAACUAAUCCUAAUAUAUGAUUAAAAAACUAGAUUAUCAUAAUACAUAAUGUGUUAACUAGGAUUCGAGAGACAACCUUUGUAUGCUACUAUAUUUGCAACUGAGAGGCCUUGACUAUCAUUGCAAGCAAAGAGAGAAACUUCACCAUAGAAAUCCAAAAUAUUGUGCCUACAUGGCUCACCACUCAUCAGGUGAGCGCAAAGAUGGAUUCAACAAACCUUUAUUGGCACUGAAACAGAACAUGAAGAUCAAUCAGCACAAGUCAACCGUAGAGACCCUGAGCGCCUAGGCGCGCUUUUUAAAACCAAGCCCAUGAUCACACAUUUACACCACAAAAACAAUCACACUAUACACUGACUCACCCAGGACAUAUUAUACCUAACAAAUAAGUAAGUAGGUGCACCUCUAUGCUUUCACAUCUUGGUACUUCAACUUCUUAGUUUUGAAAAACUAAAAUCCUAAAAAAGUUAAUCGAAUAUUACUUUGGGGCUAGCCUCUUAAUGGGUCAGAAUUAAAGAGUGUUUGGUUUGCUUAGUGAACACAUCUGAAUGAUUCAGUAUUUGAUUUUGAAGAUAUCGAAGUUGAGCUAAAUACCCACGCACGUCACACGUUCCUCUCAUCUGCUCCUCUUCUGGCGAUCACGCAAACCACCACCAUCCAAGCACAUCAAGACUUGGACGAUUACAAGCUCACAACCAGAAAUGGACAAAAGAGAAGUAGGAUUAGUUGGAAACAAGAGGGACUUCAGAAAACAUUUCUUGAAGCAUGUGUUCAUGAAAUAACAAUCCAUGGACGUGAAGGAAGCAGCCUUAAACAAGUUUCAUGGAAGAGUGUAGCCGAAAAACUGAAAACAGAACACAAUUUCAUAGCGGAUCAAAAACAGAUGAAGAAUCGUUACUGGCUCAGCACUUACUCAUUCAGAAAUUGCCAAAUAGCCCCUAAGUCCAUUUAAACCCCCUUGUAAAUAAUCUAUUACCCAAAAUAACCCAUGGUGUAAUAUUUAAAGUCCACCCGAUUAUUUACAAGGGGGUUUAAAUGGACUUAGGGGCUGUUUGGCAAUUUCUGAAUGAGUAAGUGCUGAGCCAGUAAGAGGUCUGGACCACUAAGUGCUGAACCAGUAAGAGGUCUGAAUCAUUAAGAGUCAAUAUAAUGUUUAACCAUUCAGAGACAAAUGUCUGACCAAUUCAGAUAAGAGGUCUUAACCAUUCAGACUCAGUAUAAUGCUUAACCAUUCAGAUACAAAUGUACGAAUCAUUCAGACAUUUACUCGCGAAACAAACGGUCAAGAUGGGCUGAAAGAAAAAGGGUUCAUAUGGACUUUAAAUAAUUAAAUAUUACACCAUCAAUUAGGAUUCCAAUACAUUCUCCUGCCCUGCUAGAUCAUAAAACACUCAACUGAGCUCACAUAAUUAUAAUAUUCAUAUGCAGGACCUAGGGUUUCAACGGUUCUAACAACUACAAACACUCAAAUAACCAAAUUCAGGAAGAGGCUUUUGAAGAAUCUUGAUCAUGCAAUUAGCCGGCAAUCCAAUCCGUCGAACUCAUUACAACGUUCUGAAUGUAAAAGAAGACGCAACCCAAGAAGAAAUCCGUACAAGCUACAAAUCCGCUCUCCUCAUUUCCCAUCCAGAUAAGCUACAGAAAACAUCCGAGACCACAAAUUCUGAAUCAAAAUUUCUGGAAAUCCAAACGGCUUGGGAAAUCCUAGGAAACGUAAAAUCACGAGCAUUAUAUGACACGGAGCUUCGGAUGUCAAGACAAGAUGAUGAUGCCGUUGCAGAUGAAAUCGUGGUAGAUGAUCUGAUGGUGGAAACUGGCGGCGAUGUGGUGGAGCUUUUUUAUCAGUGUCGGUGUGGUGAUUACUUCUCACUCGACUCUUCGGAAUUGGGAGAGAUGGGGUUUGAAUUAUUGAUGAAAGGAGACAAGGUUUCCUUACAAACGCAUAAUACUGCUGACAUGGCAUCGAUUGUGCUGCCUUGUGGUUCAUGUUCUUUGAAAAUCCGUUUAAUGAUUAGUAAAGAUUAGCGCUCCUAAACCUUAAAUCUUAAAAUUAAGCGGGGAUUUUGAGAAGGUAUUCAUGUUCUUGAUUAAUUUUUUGGCAAGAUAGAUGUAUAACUAACUGAUUUGAUUGAAUGUCACCAUUAUUGCAACGAAA